GCCAGCUGUGAGGAUGAAGCAGCUUCAUAGCCGGAGAUCGGACGCCUCCCAUCAGUUUCCCUUUUCAGCAAUAGAGGCCUUAGAUGCCUUUCCACCUGCGUUGCAUCCUGUGGCUGACCACUCCAACGAUCUCGGCAGAAUCGUUACACAGGAAGAAGUCCGACUGGCCCCAAGCCUAGUGUGAAAUGAAGAAAUGGCACUCCACAUCAAUCCAUGUUUACUUGUCGUCAUAGCCAGUCUGUUAGCUUAAUUUUUGGUUCUUCCUAAUGAAUUCCCAAGAAAGGCACCAACUCUCAUUCAUUGGAAACAAAUUUUUGCACUUGGGGACGCAGCCAUGCACAAAGCCUUUGAGCUCAAUAAUAUCUUUAUUUCUUAAAGAAAGUGCAGCUCCUGCGUGGAGCAAUAGGUUGAAUAAGAUGAGGGUAAAUGAAAACUUGGCAACAUUAGUCACCAAAAGUUGUCCAACAAAGGAAGUCUCAUGCUGCAGCCAACAUCUUUGUAAUGGAACCAAAUGGCUCCAGCCUGAAACAUUCGUUGUUCAACCUGGCAAGUCUCCUUGUCGAAAUAUUUCCUCUAGCCUGAGACCUAUAUCCGUUCCACCACCCUCGACCAACAAUACACCUAUACAUUUGGCAACCCAUGGCAAGGUAACAAAUUCACAGUCAAAGAAAGAGAAGAUAGUGUGCACCCUGGAAGGUAGCAUGAACAGUAUUUUAUUUACUUAAUGAAAUGCAGCUUUGCUAUCCAAUUACUUUAUUUUGAUCCCCAUUUUAUAAUUGGACAGCAUUGUUCCUCAGGGAGAAUAAUAAUUCAAAGCUCACACAAUUUUGCACCUUUAUCUCCGUUAAAUCUGUCCUG
Molecule: long non-coding RNA, 858 nt
Filed under: Dermacentor andersoni
Lineage: Eukaryota; Metazoa; Arthropoda; Arachnida; Ixodida; Ixodidae
Description: uncharacterized LOC126543986
Source: RNAcentral